Unclassified non-coding RNA from Cricetulus griseus (Chinese hamster), 222 nucleotides. Its record names the gene 7SK. It matches the Rfam family "7SK RNA". Rfam says of the family: 7SK was discovered as an abundant small nuclear RNA in the mid-70s but a possible function has only recently been suggested. NCBI's taxonomy places the organism in Eukaryota, Metazoa, Chordata, Mammalia, Rodentia, Cricetidae. The record is from Ensembl.
GGAGAUGAGGAAGUGGAGUUGUAACAGGACACUAAUCACCAGGGUUGUUGCAGCUAGCCUCGCUGGCUGGGUGGGGACCCUUCCUCCUUAGCCCCUCUGCAAGCUUCCAGAAGCUUUGAGCUCUGGAGAAGAGAAUGACUGCCCCCAAGAGAAGAGGACUUUUUUUUUUUUUUUUUUAAAUCGAGACUGGAUUUCUCUAUACAGCUUUGGAGGCUGUCCUGG